UGCAAGUCGAACGGUGUCUUCGGACAUAGUGGCGCACGGGUGCGUAACACGUAUGCAACCUACCUUACAUUGGGGGAUAGCCUUUCGAAAGGGAGAUUAAUACCGCAUAAGACAGUAGCUGGGCAUCCAGCAGCUGUUAAAGAUUUAUCGAUGUAAGAUGGGCAUGCGUCCAAUUAGUUAGUUGGCGAGGUAACGGCUCACCAAGACUUUGAUUGGUAGGGGAACUGAGAGGUCAAUCCCCCACACUGGCACUGAGAUACGGGCCAGACUCCUACGGGAGGCAGCAGUAGGGAAUAUUGGGCAAUGGACGCAAGUCUGACCCAGCCAUGCCGCGUGCAGGAUGAAGGCGUUAUGCGUUGUAAACUGCUUUUAUACAGGAAGAAACGACUCUUGCGAGAGGCAUUGACGGUACUGUAUGAAUAAGCACCGGCUAACUCCGUGCCAGCAGCCGCGGUAAUACGGAGGGUGCAAGCGUUGUCCGGAUUUAUUGGGUUUAAAGGGUGCGCAGGUGGUUUAUUAAGUCAGUGGUGAAAGACGGUCGCUCAACGAUUGCAGUGCCAUUGAAACUGGUAGACUUGAGUAAAGUAGAGGUGGGCGGAAUUGAUAGUGUAGCGGUGAAAUGCAUAGAUAUUAUCAAGAACUCCAAUUGCGUAGGCAGCUCACUUGGCUUUUACUGACACUCAUGCACGAAAGUGUGGGU
Molecule: ribosomal RNA, 700 nt
Filed under: uncultured Bacteroidota bacterium
Lineage: Bacteria; Pseudomonadati; Bacteroidota
Description: bacterial SSU rRNA
Rfam family: Bacterial small subunit ribosomal RNA
Source: RNAcentral